CCCAUGCCUCCGGUUUCAGAAAUUAGUUUGUUUAUUCUUCUAGCUUUGAGGAAUAGAUAGACAUAUCCCUCCAACGAGCCUUUGACAGAGGUGCCAAUCAGCACAGCCUGAAAGGGAACAAGGAGGGAUGGAAGACUCAGAGGGAGGAAAAGGAAACAUGGGAAAAAAAGGUUAUCGGGACAGGUAAAACUAUCUGUGGCUACAGAGGAGAAAACAACAAAUCGAACAACCCAGUCUCCUCCUAGCAGAGUACAGAGCCAAGAGAGAACAGAAAGAUGGGGGCCAGGGAAGAAGCCAGCAAGCUCCCAGAGGAUGCCACAAAAGCACCAUUCUCAGGAUGCCAAGACACAAGGCGCAGCCCCAGCUGUGAUGACAACUGGACAUGCCGG
This 389-nucleotide long non-coding RNA is filed under the name Equus caballus (horse). Its description in RNAcentral is "lncRNA (ENSECAG00000053462.1)". Lineage: Eukaryota; Metazoa; Chordata; Mammalia; Perissodactyla; Equidae. The record is from RNAcentral.